RNAcentral lists this ribosomal RNA (253 nucleotides) under uncultured bacterium. RNAcentral's name for it is "partial 16S ribosomal RNA". It matches the Rfam family "Bacterial small subunit ribosomal RNA", at positions 524 to 776 of the family's 1533-position model. The record is from RNAcentral.
UACGUAUGGGGCAAGCGUUAUCCGGAUUCAUUGGGCGUAAAGGGCACGCAGGCGGACCGACAGGUCGUUUGUGAAAGGCGAGGGCUCAACCCUGGACGUGCACUGGAAACUGGUUGGCUUGAGUGCAGGAGAGGAAAGUGGAAUUCCCAGUGUAGCGGUGAAAUGCGUAGAUAUUAGGAGGAACACCAGUGGCGAAGGCGGCUUUCUGGCAUACAACUGACGCUGAGGCGCGAAAGCGUGGGGAGCGAACGGG